Molecule: ribosomal RNA, 484 nt
Filed under: uncultured bacterium
Lineage: Bacteria
Description: partial 16S ribosomal RNA
Rfam family: Bacterial small subunit ribosomal RNA
Source: RNAcentral
AUUGAACGCUGGCGGCAUGCUUUACACAUGCAAGUCGAACGGCAGCGCGGGCUUCGGCCUGGCGGCGAGUGGCGAACGGGUGAGUAAUACAUCGGAACGUGCCCAGUUGUGGGGGAUAGCUCGGCGAAAGCCGGAUUAAUACCGCAUACGACCUGAGGGUGAAAGCGGGGGAUCUUCGGACCUCGCGCUAUUGGAGCGGCCGAUGGCAGAUUAGCUAGUUGGUGGGGUAAAGGCCUACCAAGGCGACGAUCUGUAGCUGGUCUGAGAGGACGACCAGCCACACUGGGACUGAGACACGGCCCAGACUCCUACGGGAGGCAGCAGUGGGGAAUUUUGGACAAUGGGCGAAAGCCUGAUCCAGCAAUGCCGCGUGUGUGAUGAAGGCCUUCGGGUUGUAAAGCACUUUUGGCGGGAACGAAAAGGACUGUGCCAAUACCACGGUUCGAUGACGGUACCCGCAGAAUAAGCACCGGCUAACUACGUG